RNAcentral lists this small RNA (26 nucleotides) under Pantoea ananatis. The record is from RNAcentral. Lineage: Bacteria; Pseudomonadati; Pseudomonadota; Gammaproteobacteria; Enterobacterales; Erwiniaceae.
AGCAAAAACCCCGCCUGAGCGGGGUU